RNAcentral lists this ribosomal RNA (411 nucleotides) under uncultured Pseudomonas sp. RNAcentral's name for it is "bacterial SSU rRNA". It matches the Rfam family "Bacterial small subunit ribosomal RNA", at positions 971 to 1382 of the family's 1533-position model. Lineage: Bacteria; Pseudomonadati; Pseudomonadota; Gammaproteobacteria; Pseudomonadales; Pseudomonadaceae. The record is from RNAcentral.
UUACCAGGCCUUGACAUGCAGAGAACUUCAGAGAUGGAUUGGUGCCUUCGGGAACUCUGACACAGGUGCUGCAUGGCUGUCGUCAGCUCGUGUCGUGAGAUGUUGGGUUAAGUCCCGUAACGAGCGCAACCCUUGUCCUUAGUUACCAGCACGUUAUGGUGGGCACUCUAAGGAGACUGCCGGUGACAAACCGGAGGAAGGUGGGGAUGACGUCAAGUCAUCAUUGGCCCUUACGGCCUGGGCUACACACGUGCUACAAUGGUCGGUACAAAGGGUUGCCAAGCCGCGAGGUGGAGCUAAUCCCAUAAAACCGAUCGUGGUCCGGAUCGCAGUCUGCAACUCGACUGCGUGAAGUCGGAAUCGCUAGUAAUCGUGAAUCAGAAUGUCACGGUGAAUACGUUCCCGGGCCUU